RNAcentral lists this long non-coding RNA (363 nucleotides) under Chloebia gouldiae (Gouldian finch). Its description in RNAcentral is "Erythrura gouldiae (Gouldian finch) lncRNA (ENSEGOG00005005824.1)". The record is from RNAcentral. Lineage: Eukaryota; Metazoa; Chordata; Aves; Passeriformes; Passeridae.
AUGGUUUGCAGAAGCUCUGAACCUCAGUUAUGUUUAUCCCACAGGCUGUCACCAGUGUGGCCACACUGUGAAGAAGUGCAAUCCCUAAGAUGCAUGGCUCAAACUCUGCCUCUCAGCAGCCAAGGAGUAUGGGGAAUAAAUCCUGAGUGCACACAAGGGACACUUAAGAUCAGGAAUCUCAGUCUGCAGGAUGAACUGUUAAGAUGGAUACCCUGGCUGAAGUCUGCCAAGGCUCAGAGGAGCACAGCAGCAUGCCAGAUCCUCCCUGGAUUUGAGCAUAUCAGCCUGCUAAGUGUCCAGCAAGGAUACAAAUCAGAGGGACUGCCAUCUGCACUUAUCAAGACAGUUGUGGACUUUCUUUGA